Molecule: long non-coding RNA, 1956 nt
Filed under: Oryza brachyantha (malo sina)
Lineage: Eukaryota; Viridiplantae; Streptophyta; Magnoliopsida; Poales; Poaceae
Description: long non-coding RNA (OBRA_LNC002018)
Source: RNAcentral
AUGUUUGUGGAAUUGUACAUUUAGUAUUAAUCUAUCUUUUUUAUUUUUUUUAACUACAUGCUAUAAAUAAGGAGAUGCCUACUUAAUAGUUUAAAUAUUUUGCUGGUAACUGCAAUAAAAUCGGCUACACCUAAAAUCUAAAAAGGGAAGCAGGCAUCCCCUGCGAAGUGAUCAGUAUGCAUGGAGAUGAUUGUGUCUUUUUUGUACACAAAGAUGGAUUCGAUCGAUCCAGGCAUACUUCUUUGGGCCGGGUCGUACGUAGGCCUGAGCUUGUUGUCCAUGAGAAACAUAUAUGGGUCGUUUGAGAAAAAAUGAAAGUCCCGAGUUGCAUGCAACGACUAGAGUAGUGCGUCGAGGAACAACGGUCAUAAUACCGCCCUGCUCUCUUAUUAAUUCCAGUCUCUUCUACCGCGGCUAGUGCCCUCUUCUUCUGCUUCUUCUACCGCUUCUUUUUGACUUCUUUUAGGCAACAGUCUGGUGUGGUGACUGUUUCAAGCCGACAAUGAGAAAGAAAGGAAUGAAAGGGAGACAACGGUCUAGUGAAAGAAGAGGGAGGCAACGGUCUAGGGAAAUAAACGUACUAGACCGUGUUCUGAGUGUCAAUUAUCUAGAGUGAAAAACAUUAUAAUAGAUUAGCACAUAAUUAAUUAAUUAUUAAUUAUUAGAAAAUAUAGAAUAGAUUAAUAUGAUUUUUUAAAACAACUUUUUUAUAGAAUUUUUUUGUAAGAAGUAUACCAUCUAGCAGUUCAGAAAACGUGUACGCGGAAAAUGAGGGGAGUUUAGAUAACUUAGCAUAGCAUGCUGAACCUGGCCCUAGUUGCUACAACGGGAAACUACUCCCUCCGUCUCAAAAUAAACCAAUCUUUCAUUUUUUAGCUAUAAUCUUUGAACUUUGUCUUACUAAAAAAAAUAUGAUUAAUAUUUUUUAUUAGAUGAUAAAUCAUGUAUAGUACUUUACGUGUGACCAUUUUCUUUAAUUUUUUGAAAAAAUUUUAAAUAAGAUGGAUGGUCAAAAGUUAGGCUUAUUUUGCGACGUAGGGAGUAGUUGAGGGUAUAUAAUCAUGACAUGUCCAAUAAUUAGGAAGGUCAUUAAAAAAUGUUUUUUUACCGUCCUUAAAAAAAGUUCUUGAGGUACCGAAAAUUUUAGUGCAAAAUUCUGAUACCUUGAGAUCUGAAAAAUAUGAUACCUUCAGGUGCAUAUUAAAAAAGCUCUUAUAAAAAAUACUUCUGUCAAGACAAAGUUGAAUUAAAAAAGAGAGUAAGCAAGAUAUGCCUUCCUGAACAUGGAAGAAAUUAAAUGUGAAAUCACAACGUACCAUUUCAUUGUAGCAACCCCUUCUCAGCCUCACAUGGUCCGGCACAGCAUCGAUCAUGAAUUAAUACCGGUGAAUUAACAAAACCACUGGAUCGAUUUGUCCGAAUAUAGAGCAAGCAACUGUAAUCACUAGGACCGUCCAUAGCAAGGACGGUAAGGAGAUGGCCGCAAUGACAUAUUUGGCUCCCGAUCGAUCAGCUUGAGCAAAUUCUACAUCCCAAUUCCUCAAAUUUUCUUGUUUCCGAGACAAAAUGGACGAAUUCGACCAACUUCAUAUGGAAAUGAAGGUGCCAACAAAGUUGCAAGCUCAAUAUCAUCAACGUAGUGCGGUUUUGAGAGCAACAGAAUUAAUUAAGCUCCUGGAAUCAAUGGAUCAUCGAUCAGCGUCGGGUAUGGAUGAGAAAGGUUAAUUCAUGGCGAUCGCUAGGUAGUGCAGUGCAUUUAACUGAAACUAAUACUGCAAAUUAAGAGAAUAAGCCUGGGAUUAAUUGCAGUGUCAAAAGAAAGAGAGAUGCUAGGUAGUGCAGUGCAUUUAACUGAAACUAAUACUGCAAAUUAAGAGAAUAACUUUACCCUAUGCAGAAAAGGUCAAGGUGUAGAGGCUAAUAUAUGUCCGCGAAGAUAAUGGGUGGAGAUUGGGG